AAGAAUCGCCCCGUUUUUUGAAAUGGGUUCUAUUCCCAAACCGUGUAUACAUACCUUUGUUGCUUUGGCAGGCCGCCGCUUAGGCGUUGGCUCCGGCUGACUGCGCCUGCCAGAGGACCCUAACUCGUUUGUUUAGUGAUGUCUGAGUACUAUAUAAUAGUUA
Molecule: unclassified non-coding RNA, 163 nt
Filed under: uncultured Meliniomyces
Lineage: Eukaryota; Fungi; Ascomycota; Leotiomycetes; Helotiales; Helotiaceae
Description: sequence contains ITS1
Source: RNAcentral